RNAcentral lists this ribosomal RNA (251 nucleotides) under uncultured bacterium. RNAcentral describes it as "partial 16S ribosomal RNA". It matches the Rfam family "Bacterial small subunit ribosomal RNA", at positions 524 to 775 of the family's 1533-position model. The record is from RNAcentral.
UACAGAGGGUGCAAGCGUUAAUCGGAAUUACUGGGCGUAAAGCGUGCGUAGACGGUUACAUAAGUCGGGUGUGAAAGCCCCGGGCUCAACCUGGGAAUUGCAUUCGAGACUGCGUAGCUAGGGUGCGGAAGAGGGAAGCGGAAUUCCGGUGUAGCGGUGAAAUGCGUAGAUAUCGGGAGGAACACCAGUGGCGAAGGCGACUUCCUGGCCUGUUCUUGACGCUGAGGCGCGAAAGCUAGGGUAGCAAACGG